AGAGUUUGAUCCUGGCUCAGGAUAAACGCUGGCGGCGUGCCUAACACAUGCAAGUCGCACGUUCUCGCGGCAACGCGUGGGAGUGGCGGACGGGUGAGUAACACAUGGGUAACCUGCCUUUCAGUGAGGAAUACCGGCGAGAAAUCGCCGACAAUACCGCAUAGGCUCACUUCCUCUCAACAGAGGUGAGCAAAGCUCCGCAAGGGGCGCUGGAAGAGGGGCCCGUGGCCGAUUAGCUGGUUGGUGGGGUCACGGCCUACCAAGGCGACGAUCGGUCGCUGGUCUGAGAGGACGAUCAGCCACACUGGGAUUGAGAACGGCCCAGACUCCUACGGGGGGCAGCAGUGAGGAAUUUUCCGCAAUGGACGCAAGUCUGACGGAGCAACGCCGCGUGCAGGACGAAGGUCUUCGGAUCGUAAACUGCUUUUCCCAGGGAAGAGCAAGGACGGUACCUGGGGAAGAAGCCCCGGCUAACUACGUGCCAGCAGCCGCGGUAAUACGUAGGGGGCAAGCGUUGUCCGGAUUUAUUGGGCGUAAAGCGCCCGCAGGCGGUCGCGUCAGUUUGGGGUGACAGCUCCUGGCUUAACCGGGAGAGUGCCUCGAAGACGGCGUGACUUGAGGGCCAGAGAGGGACAUGGAACUCCGGGUGGAGUGGUGAAAUGCGUAGAGAUCCGGAAGAACACCAAAGGCGAAGGCAGUGUCCUGGCUGGCAUCUGACGCUCAGGGGCGAAAGCGAGGGGAGCGAACGGGAUUAGAUACCCCGGUAGUCCUCGCCGUAAACGAUGACCACUAGGUGUGGGAGGGAUCGACCCCUUCCGUGCCGGCGUUAACGCACUAAGUGGUCCGCCUGGGGAGUACGGGUCGCAAGAUUAAAACUCAAAGGAAUUGACGG
RNAcentral lists this ribosomal RNA (892 nucleotides) under uncultured bacterium. RNAcentral's name for it is "bacterial SSU rRNA". It matches the Rfam family "Bacterial small subunit ribosomal RNA", at positions 8 to 916 of the family's 1533-position model. The record is from RNAcentral.